AUCUGGUCCCCUUUCUUUCUCUCUAAACAUUUUUCUCAUUUUGUGUGUGUGAAAUUUAUUUCCUCAUUGAGAUAAAGCUGGACCACUUUUACAUAUGCUUGGACACUAGGCCCAGCAGGUAGGCCGCAUGCCUCCUGCACCGCGCCAGUCGUCGGGCCGCGAGCGAAGGGUUCCCAGCCCACGAAAGGUUCCAUGAGCAGGAAAGGUUCGUGCUUUUUUUUCCUCGCUGGUUUUUUGGUUCUUUGCAUAUCGGCCGUAGUCACCCGUGCAUGCAGCCCAGCCGUCCACACAUCUCACCCUUCUCCCUUGGGCCCCCGCGUCGUCCACCCCUGGCGACUUGAGGGGUGAAGACCUAGCGGCGCCACUUUCUCCUCCCCUUCCCUCCCCUGACCCACCGUCGCCGGAGGCGUCGGCCGACGAAGCUUGUCUGUCUCCGGGGAUGGAGACGGCGGGGCGUCUUUCUAUCUGGCGGGAAGCGGCGGGGUUGCUUCUCCGGCUAGCGCGUGUGGAGGUGGUGGCGGCGACGCAUGUUGCUCCGGCAUGGUGCCAUGCGGCGCACGGCCGUGCUCGAGGCCGUGGUGCACAACGCUGGUGUGAGCGCUGUUGGCCACUGGAUGGGGCGGAGGUCCCCCGCGUGGUCUGCUGGAUCUCGCGCCGGCGGGGCGGUUGCCGUGGUGGAGAGCAUGGGGCACCGGCACGACUGCGCUAGGGGCUGUGGCAUGCUGCACUGGUGUGCGCGGGGUCGGCAGCUGACUUGGGCAGCGGCCUCCCGAGUGGCCUGCUGGUGCUAGUCUCCAUGUCAGGCAGGCGGGCUGCAGAUGUUUCCUCUCCUGUCGGUCCUCUUGAUGUGCUCCGGCCAGAUGCCGUGCUGGGGGUGUGGCUGUUAUUCCUCUUCCUUAUGCGGCAGCGCCGGCGAAAGGACGACGUGGUGCUGGACAGACUCCCUUCCCCUUCCUCCUCUGUGGAUAUUUCUUUCCUUUCUUCCUUACUGAUUUCAACAGUUUUGUACGGAAGCUGGGCUCCAUGUAAAUAUUCAUUUGGUUUGAUUGCCACUUCCGGUAAUGUGUGUAGAAGAUUCGGUAUUGCAAUUUUGAUUAUUCUUAUUCUUUUCAGAUCCGGUUGUGCAGUUUUGUGAAAAAGCGAAGCAACUUUUUAACCGAAUAAAUGUUUGAUUGUAUGCACUA
Triticum urartu is the source of this 1184-nucleotide long non-coding RNA. RefSeq lists it as uncharacterized. The record is from RefSeq and is a predicted model, not a curated record. NCBI's taxonomy places the organism in Eukaryota, Viridiplantae, Streptophyta, Magnoliopsida, Poales, Poaceae.